This is a long non-coding RNA of Mugil cephalus (flathead mullet), 1468 nucleotides long. RefSeq lists it as uncharacterized. The record is from RefSeq and is a predicted model, not a curated record. The transcript has 2 exons. Lineage: Eukaryota; Metazoa; Chordata; Actinopteri; Mugiliformes; Mugilidae.
UAACACUGAUUAUCUCGUUAACUUGGCACCAGCCAGAAAACGAGCUGGUGCCCUCUUUCAGCAGGAUUAUUCAUCCUGCCAUGAAGCAAAAAUAGAAGCACGAGUUAAAGGUGUGGCGUUGGCCUCUAAAUUCCUCACAUCUGGGGAAUUUACACAGCAAACCUUCGGAGGUCUGGAGGAGAAGAGUACUCGAGAGAAAUACCCCAGAGGUCCAAACACUGCUGCCGCUGCUGCUGGAGCUGGAGCUGCUCCGUCGUAACAGAGCUCGGAUGACGUCAGUGCUGCAGUGCUUUAGAGACUCUGGACCAGGUUUGUACACAGGAGCUUUAUUUUCCUUGCCUCUAGUUGAAACUUCAGUGCCUCAGGUGUAGAUGAACUGUUCCUAUAUCCUUUAUAUGGGACACUAAGAUGUGCUCUGAGCUGCUACUGGAUGGCCCUUUUCAUUUUCCCUACUAGAAUAACACAGUUGGGACUCAAAAGUGUUCAAAUUACGAACAAAAAUGCUAAACUAAAUUUUAUUUUAAUUAAAAGCUGUCAUCCUAAAACAAAGGAAAGCUAGACUUGCAUCAUAGCUUCACCUUUAAGUCAAAUAAGUGCUCCCGUCUGUCAAGAAAAAACAAAGCCACUUACGCAGUGCACUUUAAAAUAUCACAUCAAGAGCCAAAAACAGCAAUGGUAAAUUAUUGUGGGUUUUUCUUACUAAUCCUAAUGAUUUAAACUUGUUCUAUUUUUAGCAUUACUUGAGUCAAGUUGAACGUCAUGUUGUGUGCACACUGGCCACCAGGGGGCGUCAGAACCGCACUAACGCUGCAGGCGUUUCUUCGCGGCAUUUAGCCUGGACCCAGUCCUCUUCCCUCUUCACCAAGUGGAAACUGGGCAACACUGAGGUUAGUGGCCGAGUAUUUCAGGCACAACUGAGUUUGUGUAAAUGUGUAAAGUUUGGAGAAAAAAAAAAAUAUCGUGAUAAUAACGUUAAUAAAGCACCAGUCAGUUUUAUUCUUACAAUCCAAUUCUCCUUAUUCUGACCAAAAAUAUUUGUUCACGUUUAUUCAAACUCCACUUUAAAACUGACAGCUAGAUUUGUCUGAGCUAGACUGAUGAAGAAGACAGGACUUAAAGAAAAAGUGACAAUAUAACAGGAAGCUAUAUUAUUAUAUUUUUAACCCACAUCAUUAAGAUUCUCAGUCUCCAUGGUCAAAGUUAACCACUAAGUGAACAUCAUCAUGACUCCUGUGGCACAUGUUUUCUGAGUGAACUGUCCUCAUAGCAAAAAAGAAAUUUACACACUUGAUCCAGGUACAGAUGCAUCAAGGUAGAUGUUUUAAUAGCAGAUAUGAGGUCAUCUGGUUCAAAAGGUAACUUCCUCGGUAAAUGUGUCCUAAAAGGUGCAACAGCGCGACAGAGCGACAGAACAGAAAGUGUAAUUUUAGCUCUUAUAAAUAUCACACCAUUUACAUAGAUAUGUCCG